This 73-nucleotide transfer RNA is filed under the name Monodelphis domestica (gray short-tailed opossum). It matches the Rfam family "tRNA". From Rfam's summary of the family: Transfer RNA (tRNA) molecules are approximately 80 nucleotides in length. Their secondary structure includes four short double-helical elements and three loops (D, anti-codon, and T loops). The record is from Rfam by way of RNAcentral. Lineage: Eukaryota; Metazoa; Chordata; Mammalia; Didelphimorphia; Didelphidae.
GGCCAUGUAGCCAAAUGGAUAGGGAAUCUGAUUCCAGAUUAGAAGAUUGAGGGUUCAAGUCUUUUCAUGGUCA